Molecule: ribosomal RNA, 236 nt
Filed under: uncultured bacterium
Lineage: Bacteria
Description: partial 16S ribosomal RNA
Rfam family: Bacterial small subunit ribosomal RNA
Source: RNAcentral
UCCAUGAGUAAAGUGGCGACCGGGUGAGCAACACGUGACUAACCUACCCUCGAGUGUGGAAUAACCCCGGGAAACCGGGGCUAAUACCGCAUAAUAUCGCGAGAUCAAAGGAGCAAUCCGCUUGAGGAGGGGGUCGCGGCUGAUUAGCUAGUUGGCGGGGUAACGGCCCACCAAGGCGAAGAUCGGUAUCCGGCCUGAGAGGGCGCACGGACACACUGGAACUGAAACACGGCCAG